AGCGAACGCUAGCGGCGGGCUUAACACAUGCAAGUCGAGCGCCUUACUUCGGUAAGGAGCGGCGGACGGGUGAGUAACACGUAGGUUAUCUGCCCCGGGGUGAGGGACAACUGAGGGAAACUUCAGCUAAUACCACAUAUGGCCUACGGGUCAAAGGCUUCGGCCGCCCUGGGAUGAGCCUGCGUCCCAUUAUUUAAUCCUAGUUGGUGGGGUAAUGGCCUACCAAGGGUACGAUGGGUAGCUGGUUUGAGAGAAUGAUCAGCCACACUGGAACUGAGACACGGUCCAGACUCCUACGGGAGGCAGCAGUGGGGAAUAUUGCGCAAUGGGGGAAACCCUGACGCAGCAACGCCGCGUGUGUGAAGAAGGCC
This 371-nucleotide ribosomal RNA is filed under the name uncultured bacterium. Its description in RNAcentral is "bacterial SSU rRNA". It matches the Rfam family "Bacterial small subunit ribosomal RNA", at positions 29 to 416 of the family's 1533-position model. The record is from RNAcentral.